UGCUAAUUAGCUGUCAGUCUCUAUAAACAACCAGCAGACUGCAUUUCAGAGAGAUACUCCACCAAAAAUUCCCAAACAAGAAUUAAACGUUUGUGCCGGACUGCAACUUCUACUCUUUGAUUUCAGGCUUUAGACUGAGUAAAUCUGCUUACCUUAAACAUUUCUCAUGUGAUAAAGGUUUUCAUUUUUCUUACCAGUUGACUACAGGUAAUAACAUCUGCUCUUCCCUCUAGACAGUUAUUUGAUUCAAUAAUCUUAGCCCCCCCAAAAAACAGAAAAGAAAAGAGAAGGAAAUGAAAGAAAAGGAUGAAAAGGAGAAGAGAGAAGAUGUUCAGAGAAGGAGGAUCAUGUCACAGCAGAUCCCCCGGGUCUGUUUCGCAUCCUCCCAAGAAGGCAGCUUCCAUACUUGCAUCUCAGUCAGUGCCCACCCUCUGGCUCCCUUGGACCAGGUAAAGAUGCAGUGCUAAAUCCAGGCCAUGCAAGUCUGUUGUGUUCUCCUAUUGCUGUUGACCUGGCCAUGUCUGAUUAGAUGAUCUCACAGAUGAAUGAUCACUCAUGUGUGUUUACUCCUUCGCCAUUUUGUGGAGGAUUAGGGUGGGGUAGAACCAGCUGGAUUCAUGUCCAUAACUAAAAAAAAUCAGAUUCCACCUCCCUCUUACCAGCACAACUGGGGCCUGCACACCUUCCAAAUACCAUAGGCCCCUUUCCCGACUGUGAUGAGAAGUUACAAGAAAAGAACACAGAGAAUACCUUAAAACAGAAAAUGGGAGGUGAAGUAGAGUGAAGAAUUAAGGCAAAAGACAGGAUGGAGUCUGCUGAAUAGCUCUUCCCACUUGAAAUCUGGAGACAGAAUUAGGACAACCAAAAGAAGAGUGAAGAGAAGAAGUCUCAGGGCCUGGAGUCCAAUUGCAUGAUUUCUAAUCCUGGAUUUACCAGUCUAGGCCUGAUGUCCAGGGUUUGAGGUGCACCGAUUACCUCCUCAGGAAAAAAAUGCAUCUACUUGUGAGCUGCCAGCUAUGCUUGUGAUUGCUUUCAACUGAAUGCUGGCAUUUAAUAACUUGCUACAAACAUCUGUACGCAAAAAACUGUGACUUUAUAGAAUAACCUAAAUAAUCCACCAAAACACAAUGGAUGAAUAAUUCUUUUAUAAUAUGAGUGGCAUUGUUAGGUAAAACUGAAGCAGGAAAUUAUAUGUAUGUAUACACACAUACGCAUGUAUAUACAUUCAAAUUAUUUAACACGAAAUCUUAUCUUUUCACUUUUCAGACAAGUGGAUGUGUUUUGCU
Molecule: long non-coding RNA, 1286 nt
Filed under: Heterocephalus glaber (naked mole-rat)
Lineage: Eukaryota; Metazoa; Chordata; Mammalia; Rodentia; Bathyergidae
Description: lncRNA (ENSHGLG00100037945.1)
Source: RNAcentral